CAAUAGCGUAUAUUAAAGUUGUUGCAGUUAGAACGCUCGUAGUCGGAUUUCGGGGCGGGCCGACCGGUCUGCCGAUGGGUACGCACUGGUCGGCGCGUCCUUCCUUCCGGAGACCGUGCCUACUCUUAACUGAGCGGGGGCGGGAGACGGAACGUUUACUUUGAAAAAAUCAGAGUGUUUCAAGCAGGCAGUGCACUCUUGCAUGGAUUAGCAUGGGAUAAUGAAAUAGGACUUUGGUGCUAUUUUGUUGGUUUCGAACACCGAAGUAAUGAUUAAAAGGGACAGUCAGGGGCACUCGUAUUCCGCCGAGAGAGGUGAAAUUCUCAGACCAGCGGAAGACGAACCACUGCGAAAGCAUUUGCCAGGGAUGUUUUCACUGA
Molecule: ribosomal RNA, 380 nt
Filed under: uncultured eukaryote
Lineage: Eukaryota
Description: partial 18S ribosomal RNA
Rfam family: Eukaryotic small subunit ribosomal RNA
Source: RNAcentral